GACGAGGGGUCCUAGCGUUGUUCGGAAUCACUGGGCGUAAAGCGUAUGUAGGCGGCUUUUCAAGUCAGGUGUGAAAUCCCUUGGCUCAACCAAGGAACUGCAUUUGAAACUGUAAAGCUUGAGUAUUGGAGAGGAUGGUAGAAUUCCUGGUGUAGUGGUGAAAUACGUAGAUAUCAGGAGGAACACCGGUGGCGAAGGCGGCUAUCUGGCCAAAUACUGACGCUGAGAUACGAAAGUGCGGGGAUCAAACAGG
Molecule: ribosomal RNA, 253 nt
Filed under: uncultured bacterium
Lineage: Bacteria
Description: partial 16S ribosomal RNA
Rfam family: Bacterial small subunit ribosomal RNA
Source: RNAcentral